Tinamus guttatus (white-throated tinamou) is the source of this 516-nucleotide non-coding RNA. NCBI's taxonomy places the organism in Eukaryota, Metazoa, Chordata, Aves, Tinamiformes, Tinamidae. The record is from RefSeq and is a predicted model, not a curated record.
AUUUUAGGUACACGUGUGACAUUUGUGGGAAAAAAUAUAAAUAUUAUAGCUGCUUCCAAGAACACAGAGACCUCCACGCCGUCGAUGUUUUUAGUGUGGAAGGGGCCCCAGAAAACCGGGCAGACCCCUAUGACCAGGCCGUCAUAGCAGCCGAUGAAGUGAAGGAGGAGGAGCCGGAACCGUUUCAAAAGAUUGGUCCAAAAACUGGCAAUUAUACCUGUGAAUUCUGUGGCAAGCAGUACAAAUACUACACUCCCUACCAAGAACAUGUGGCACUGCAUGCACCUAUUAAGUUCUCUCGAUCUCCACUCUUCGUGGCAGUGAAGACACAGGCGAGCCAAUCCAGCAAAAAAACACCGCCUUCAAUAAACCGAUGUUCCACCCUCCUGCACCGCACCCCCUCCGGUGUCCCACCGGCAUCCCAAUCCCAGAUGUUCCGCGCUCCAAAUUCUGGAUCCCCAGGAAGCAAGGCCAUCACAGAAAGUGCUUCAGGAGAGGGGAAGGCAAAGGGCAAAA